CUGCUCCAAUCAUGCACUUCAUC
RNAcentral lists this small nuclear RNA (23 nucleotides) under Arabidopsis thaliana (thale cress). Its description in RNAcentral is "snRNA_11567". Lineage: Eukaryota; Viridiplantae; Streptophyta; Magnoliopsida; Brassicales; Brassicaceae. The record is from RNAcentral.